RNAcentral lists this long non-coding RNA (216 nucleotides) under Salvia miltiorrhiza (redroot sage). RNAcentral's name for it is "long non-coding RNA (SMIL_LNC001372)". Lineage: Eukaryota; Viridiplantae; Streptophyta; Magnoliopsida; Lamiales; Lamiaceae. The record is from RNAcentral.
UUUUUUUUUUUUGUAAAUUCAAGACGAACUCAUAUAUUAGCUCUAUUCAAUUUAUAUAUAAGCAUCAAAAUGAACUGAUUUUUUUUUUAUUUUAAGUAGAGGUGGUCCUCUUGUGUAUCGAGAUUCGAGGGUACGUACAUGUAGCCAAAAAAUUAUAAGCUUGAAUCAUAUUAAUACAUUAAACUUACAGCACACAUUCAAUAACGAUUAUAGUUU